Molecule: ribosomal RNA, 497 nt
Filed under: uncultured bacterium
Lineage: Bacteria
Description: partial 16S ribosomal RNA
Rfam family: Bacterial small subunit ribosomal RNA
Source: RNAcentral
GAUGAACGCUGGCGGCGUGCCUAAUACAUGCAAGUCGAGCGAACAGAUAAGGAGCUUGCUCCUUUGACGUUAGCGGCGGACGGGUGAGUAACACGUGGAUAACCUACCUAUAAGACUGGGAUAACUUCGGGAAACCGGAGCUAAUACCGGAUAACAUAUUGAACCGCAUGGUUCAAUAGCGAAAGGCGGCUUUGCUGUCACUUAUAGAUGGAUCCGCGCCGUAUUAGCUAGUUGGUAAGGUAACGGCUUACCAAGGCAACGAUACGUAGCCGACCUGAGAGGGUGAUCGGCCACACUGGAACUGAGACACGGUCCAGACUCCUACGGGAGGCAGCAGUAGGGAAUCUUCCGCAAUGGGCGAAAGCCUGACGGAGCAACGCCGCGUGAGUGAUGAAGGUCUUCGGAUCGUAAAACUCUGUUAUCAGGGAAGAACAAAUGUGUAAGUAACUGUGCACAUCUUGACGGUACCUGAUCAGAGAGCCACGGCUAACUACGUG